This 635-nucleotide long non-coding RNA is filed under the name Mus spicilegus (steppe mouse). RNAcentral describes it as "lncRNA (ENSMSIG00000010274.1)". Lineage: Eukaryota; Metazoa; Chordata; Mammalia; Rodentia; Muridae. The record is from RNAcentral.
CGACGCGGCCGCCGCCGCUGCCCCAGGCGGAGGGCACGGAGGUUCCCACGCUCCGGCCCCCGGGCCGGGGGCGUUCUCAGGCCGGCGUGGCCGCGCUCGCCACCACCGCGGAGGCCAGGCUGUAAUUAGGGUAAUUGCGCGGCUCCGCGCCUAGGGCAAGUGCAGGACCCUGGCUGUGCAGCGCUGGUCCGAGAUGGGCAGGGACAGCGGGGGCUGGGAAUGUCGCAUCCUGGUCUUCCAGACAGGUUGCCUCUGCCUCUGCAGCUGUUUCAAGCUGUGUCUUCGUCUUGGACUUCCCUGCUGAGCCACACACCUCUGCUCUGCCAUCAUGGACUCUAGUCCUCCGAAGCCCUUUGGCUUUUCCAUUGAGAGGUCAGUAGCAUCUUUACCCUCACAGGUCUCAGCAUGAUCUCCCAGACGACCAGCUUCUCCCUCAGGCAUUCUCUGUCUUAGCUGAUGGCCAACCCCUUUCUACCUCAGCCACACAAACAUUUUUCUUAUCAAUCCUCAAACUCUCCCAGUAUCCAUUAGCCUCAAAAUUAUUUUUCUAAAAAUAUUUAUUUGUUUGUUCGUUUGUUUAUUUUUUGGGUGGUGUGUGUGUGUGUGUGUGUAUCUAUGUACCUUGUGUGUGCUUA